RNAcentral lists this ribosomal RNA (468 nucleotides) under uncultured bacterium. RNAcentral's name for it is "partial 16S ribosomal RNA". It matches the Rfam family "Bacterial small subunit ribosomal RNA", at positions 28 to 507 of the family's 1533-position model. The record is from RNAcentral.
GACGAACGCUGGCGGCGUGCUUAACACAUGCAAGUCGAACGGAAAGGCCCUGCUUUUGUGGGGUGCUCGAGUGGCGAACGGGUGAGUAACACGUGAGUAACCUGCCCUUGACUUUGGGAUAACUUCAGGAAACUGGGGCUAAUACCGGAUAGGAGCUCCUGCUGCAUGGUGGGGGUUGGAAAGUUUCGGCGGUUGGGGAUGGACUCGCGGCUUAUCAGCUUGUUGGUGGGGUAGUGGCUUACCAAGGCUUUGACGGGUAGCCGGCCUGAGAGGGUGAACGGCCACAUUGGGACUGAGAGACGGCGCAGACUCCUACGGGAGGCAGCAGGGGGGAAUAUUGCACAAUGGGCGGAAGCCUGAUGCAGCAACGCCGCGUGCGGGAUGACGGCCUUCGGGUUGUAAACCGCUUUCGCCUGUGACGAAGCGUGAGUGACGGUAAUGGGUAAAGAAGCACCGGCUAACUACGUG